GCACAGAGUUAGCCGGUGCUUAUUCUGUCGGUAACGUCAAAACACUAACGUAUUAAGUUACUGCCCUUCCUCCCAACUUAAAGUGCUUUACAAUCCGAAGACCUUCUUCACACACGCGGCAUGGCUGGAUCAGGCUUUCGCCCAUUGUCCAAUAUUCCCCA
This 161-nucleotide ribosomal RNA is filed under the name uncultured bacterium. Its description in RNAcentral is "partial 16S ribosomal RNA". The record is from RNAcentral.